GUGGUUCAGUGGUAGAACUUUCGCCUGCCAUGCGAGAGACCCGGGUUCGAUUUCAACCCGAC
Molecule: transfer RNA, 62 nt
Filed under: Danio rerio (zebrafish)
Lineage: Eukaryota; Metazoa; Chordata; Actinopteri; Cypriniformes; Danionidae
Rfam family: tRNA
About the family: Transfer RNA (tRNA) molecules are approximately 80 nucleotides in length.
Source: Rfam by way of RNAcentral